This 167-nucleotide ribosomal RNA is filed under the name Maritrema sp. 1 CC-2013. RNAcentral describes it as "partial 18S ribosomal RNA". It matches the Rfam family "Eukaryotic small subunit ribosomal RNA", at positions 1671 to 1831 of the family's 1831-position model. Lineage: Eukaryota; Metazoa; Platyhelminthes; Trematoda; Plagiorchiida; Microphallidae. The record is from RNAcentral.
UUCCGUCGCUACUACCGAUUGAAUGGUUUAGCAAGGUCAUCGGAUCGGUGCCAUUGUAGUUGUUUCGGCAACUCGACCGGUGCUGAGAAGACGACCAAACUUGAUCAUUUAGAGGAAGUAAAAGUCGUAACAAGGUUUCCGUAGGUGAACCUGCGGAAGGAUCAUUA